UCUGUGAGAGAUGGUCUUGAACAAGCAUGUCUGCCGCUCUAGCAGGGCCUGGGUGCAGAGGAGUCAGCCUCAGCUCCUUGUCAGCACCCUCGGCUCCACUGAGACCAGGCUAGGUUCUUUUGCCCAGUACACAGCACUACAUCAGAGGGACCCGGACUGUGGAUUCAUUCUCCAGAUGAACUGAUUUCACCCUUCAGAGAGGAGAAGUUGGCUACAUUGGAACAGCAGGCUGCUGGCAUCGGCACAGAAAUAGAUUUGGAGAAUUUAUCUCAUACACGCAUCGUGAGGAGGCGACAAAGACGCACAGGCCUUCCCCGUUAUCCAAGCCCUGCUUAAAUCCUGCCUUGUUCUGACACUAUGACAGCAGAAAGUAGUUUGUGGAUGAAGAGGACAAGGGACCAAGUCCUGACUCUGUCACCCCGGCUAUGGGUGUCCAGAGCUCCCUGCUCUGAAGUUCAUUUGGCACCGCAGUUCUCAGCAGGCUUCCCUUCUUCAUGCUGCAGCCACUUCUGAGUCUUCCCAGCUCUGGCUAUAAAGGAGAAUCCUCUAGGAAGUGUACUGAAAUAGUAUCACUCCUGACCCACUCAAGUAGCAUGUCUGGGAUGGGGCCGGGUGUUGGGAAUGUUUACUGCCCAGGGGUUGGAAGAGCAACUUCAGAUCUCCAUGCCCUGAUUCAUAACUAGUGCACCAGAAUCUGUUCAAUGGAAGGGUGGCUGCAUGGGUAGACGCAUGGACAGGUAGACAGGUGUGUAGACGGAUGGGUGGAAGGGAUGGGUAGACGCAUGGACAGGUAGACGGGUGCAUAGAUGGAUGGAUGGGAUGGGUAGACGCAUGGACAGGUAGACGGGUGUGUAGACGGAUGGGUGGAAGGGAUGGGCCCCCCUAGCACAAAAUUACUUUGUUGCUAUUUCAUAACUGUAAUUUUGCUACUGUUACGAAUUGUAGUAUAAAUAUCUGAUAUGUGACUCCUAAGGGGCCUGUGACCCACAGGUUGAGAACUGCUGUUAGAGAGGAAAUGUUUAUUGGGCAUAUGGUUCCAGAGGGUCAGAGUCUAUGAUGGUGGAUGGAGGCAGCAGGCAUGGUGGCUGGAGCAGAGACUGAGCUCACAUCACAACUGCAAGCACAAAGCUGAGAAAGCAAGCUAGAAAUGGCUCAAGUUUUUAAACUCUCAAAGCCUGCCUCUAGUGACGAACGUUCUCCAAUAAGGCCAUGCCUCAUAGGCCUCCUCAAAGAGCCCCACUAGCUGGGGACCAAGCAUUCUAUGCCUGGACUAUAGCAAACUUUCAUUCAAACCACCACAGGGGGUGCGUGGAUCAUAACCUAAUGCUUCCCUGUAACCACCGGGU
Long non-coding RNA from Alexandromys fortis (reed vole), 1346 nucleotides. RefSeq lists it as uncharacterized. The record is from RefSeq and is a predicted model, not a curated record. The transcript has 4 exons. NCBI's taxonomy places the organism in Eukaryota, Metazoa, Chordata, Mammalia, Rodentia, Cricetidae.